RNAcentral lists this ribosomal RNA (127 nucleotides) under Acinetobacter baumannii. RNAcentral describes it as "partial 23S ribosomal RNA". It matches the Rfam family "Bacterial large subunit ribosomal RNA", at positions 902 to 1027 of the family's 2925-position model. The record is from RNAcentral. Lineage: Bacteria; Pseudomonadati; Pseudomonadota; Gammaproteobacteria; Moraxellales; Moraxellaceae.
GUAGAGCACUGUUUCGGCUAGGGGGUCAUCCCGACUUACCAAACCGAUGCAAACUCCGAAUACCUAUGAGUACUAUCCGGGAGACAGACUGCGGGUGCUAACGUCCGUAGUCAAGAGGAAAACAAUC